This 404-nucleotide ribosomal RNA is filed under the name Acidobacteriota bacterium. RNAcentral's name for it is "Acidobacteria bacterium partial 16S ribosomal RNA". It matches the Rfam family "Bacterial small subunit ribosomal RNA", at positions 355 to 776 of the family's 1533-position model. Lineage: Bacteria; Pseudomonadati; Acidobacteriota. The record is from RNAcentral.
UGGGGAAUAUUGCACAAUGGGGGAAACCCUGAUGCAGCGACGCCGCGUGAGCGAUGAAGUAUUUCGGUAUGUAAAGCUCUAUCAGCAGGGAAGAUAAUGACGGUACCUGACUAAGAAGCUCCGGCUAAAUACGUGCCAGCAGCCGCGGUAAUACGUAUGGAGCAAGCGUUAUCCGGAUUUACUGGGUGUAAAGGGAGCGUAGGCGGUCCUGCAAGUCUGAUGUGAAAACCCGGGGCUCAACCCCGGGACUGCAUUGGAAACUGUAGGACUAGAGUGUCGGAGGGGUAAGUGGAAUUCCUAGUGUAGCGGUGAAAUGCGUAGAUAUUAGGAGGAACACCAGUGGCGAAGGCGGCUUACUGGACGACCACUGACGCUGAGGCUCGAAAGCGUGGGGAGCAAACAGG